RNAcentral lists this ribosomal RNA (662 nucleotides) under uncultured bacterium. Its description in RNAcentral is "bacterial SSU rRNA". It matches the Rfam family "Bacterial small subunit ribosomal RNA", at positions 64 to 737 of the family's 1533-position model. The record is from RNAcentral.
GAACGGUGAAGCAGAGCUUGCUCUGUGGAUCAGUGGCGAACGGGUGAGUAACACGUGAGCAACCUGCCCUGGACUCUGGGAUAAGCGCUGGAAACGGCGUCUAAUACUGGAUAUGAGAUGCGAUCGCAUGGUCGUGUUUGGAAAGAUUUUUCGGUCUGGGAUGGGCUCGCGGCCUAUCAGCUUGUUGGUGAGGUAAUGGCUCACCAAGGCGUCGACGGGUAGCCGGCCUGAGAGGGUGACCGGCCACACUGGGACUGAGACACGGCCCAGACUCCUACGGGAGGCAGCAGUGGGGAAUAUUGCACAAUGGGCGCAAGCCUGAUGCAGCAACGCCGCGUGAGGGAUGACGGCCUUCGGGUUGUAAACCUCUUUUGGUAGGGAAGAAGCCUUCGGGUGACGGUACCUGCAGAAAAAGCGCCGGCUAACUACGUGCCAGCAGCCGCGGUAAUACGUAGGGCGCAAGCGUUAUCCGGAAUUAUUGGGCGUAAAGAGCUCGUAGGCGGUCUGUCGCGUCUGCUGUGAAAUCCCGAGGCUCAACCUCGGGCUUGCAGUGGGUACGGGCAGACUAGAGUGCGGUAGGGGAGAUUGGAAUUCCUGGUGUAGCGGUGGAAUGCGCAGAUAUCAGGAGGAACACCGAUGGCGAAGGCAGAUCUCUGGGCCGU